GUAAACUUCUGACCCAAUGGGAAUGUGAUGAAAGAAAUAAAAGCUGAAAUAAAUCAUUCUCUUUACUAUUAUUCUGACAUUUCACAUUCUUAAAAAAUAAAGUAGUGAUCCUAACUGACCUAAGACAGAGAAUUUUUACUCUGAUUAAAUGUCAGGAAUUGUGAAAAACUGAGUUUAAAUGUAUUUGGCAAAGGUGUAUGUAAACUUCUGACUUCAACUGUACAUGUCUCUCUUCUCUCUCUUUCUGUAACUAUUUCUCAACUCCCUCCUCUCUCACACCCUCAGCCACAACAACCCAACCAGGUCAGUCUAAACAGUAUCACCAGGUUCACAUCAAGUACACAGUGAUCUUUUCAUGUAGAGCAAAGAUCCUCUUUUUAUCACAGAGGGGGGAAAAACCUCUGGCUCCCACAGAGAUACAAUGUGGGAAUGUUAUUCAUCCCUACUAGACCUUUCAGUGCCAUUCAAAACUUCUGUUGGUCAGCAGUAAUUGUGCCCACUGCCCCUGUACCAGUAGGAAUUCUCCCCGUUUACACCUAGCACUGCCCACUCCUCACCUACGGGUUCUCAACCCCCCCAUGCCCCGGCUAGAAACUUCUUGAAGGUGUUGUUAUUCUUUGAAUAGACUACAGUACCUCCUGUCUUGGGCUUGAACUUUGAAGUUGAACGCUGAAGUUGAGAAUCGUUUGGACUGUGAAUUAAAGAUGUCUUUAAAGAGACGGCUGCUGUCCAUGUUGUUGGGCUGUGUCUACUGCGUGGCUUCGCUCUUCUGCUUGAACCCCAACAACUGUGUCUCCAUCAGCACCCGGAAUCUCAUGACAGUUGUCCAGCAGCUGUACCAGCGAGUCACUAGGCUUAUGCGCACCACUUUGUGAUCUUGUGGAGCCCGUUAACACUCAUCAUCCUCAAGACUGAAACACUCUACUGCCCUACACUUUCCAUCCAAUGGAGAUGACCUGCAGAGCACCUGCCACAGACAGAGCAAGAGGACAAAUAGUGCUCUCACAGUCAUGGAUUGUUUUUUUUGGAACACCUGAACAUUCUUAGCCUCUUACCAUUUCAGUUCACUGUAAUAAAGAGGGAGAUAGUAAAAAAAUUGUUAUUAAUUCAGAUAGAUUUAGUUGAGAUCCUAUUGGGCUUGUUGUGUGAGAUGUGAAUGAGGUGGUGGACGCAAAGAGGGCUGGCCCUAGCCUUUUGUGGGCCCUAAGCGAGAUUUGGUUGGGGGGCCCCCCACCUUGCGGGCAAAACAUUUUAGUGGUCCUCCUCUUGACAGCAGAGAGAAAAAAAGUAUAUUUUAAAGUUAAUUUACUGCAAUACUACACAUUUUGCAUGGACCGGAGAGAACCUUUUGCAAUUUUAUAAUUAAUUUCAUGGAAUUCUACUUAUUUUGCAGAGAUAAAAAUGUGAAGUUUUAAAGCUAAUUUCCUGCAAUUCUACACAUUUUGCCAUGACUCAUGCCAUGUUAAUAUAAUAUGAUAUCUGAGUGAGAGUGACUAAUACAAUCAAUGGGGGCACACUGGAGUUCAGGGUCCCUGGGCAUGUGCCCUGCGUGCCUGGUCGGCAAUUCGGCCAUGAUUACUAAAAGUUUAGAUUGCUGGCUAGACUAAUUUACCAAUCUCAAAAAUUGUGACUGACAUGACAAGAGAUUAUUCUACUAUUCUAACUCUCAACAGUUAGUUGAGACCCUGCCUGAGUUUGUUUGUGUGGUUUGGGGGCCCCUAGUGGCCACUUAUGUCUCUUAGUGGCUAGGGGUGGCCCUGGACGCAAACAUACUUGUAGGUCUACUAUGUUGACAGGUUUCACCUGUGAUUCUGUGGCUCAGGCUGUUCCCUUUUAUAUGCUUGACUGAUCUUUCCAUUAUAGAACUUGAAUGUUAGCACCAUUGUUAGCACAGGAGGCAAAACAUUUGUAAUACAUGGAUGGGACACAAUGAGCUGGCCAUUGACACUGUGGAUUUUAUUUUGGCAGCUUUCCGUAGGCAUAACGAUGUAGGGUGUGGUUGCUCUUGCCUUGAGGGGAGACGUCACAGAACUGACUGAUUUAAGUAGCUGGUAAAUUUGUUUUGCACACAGAAUGCCAUUCACAGAGAGCAUUUUUACUUUUGCAGAGUAUGAAUAUACUUUUGCCGUGUAUUAAGUAUUAUGAGAAUGCUUUUGCAUAGCUGAAGAAAUGCAGUGCAUGUUAGAAGCAUUUGCUUAAGUGCAUGAGCUUUGUGUUAGUGGCAGAAAUGUCCUGCAUUGUAAUGCGAGUGCUGGAAAAGCCAAUUACAGGAUCAUUCAAAGAUGUCAUUCACUUCAUGCCCUCUUGUGGAAAACUGAGCAGUUAUUUCUACAUGAUGGUCAAUAAAUGAAUGCUUUCAAUGAGCUUCAAAUCUACCAAUGGACAUGGAAAAGGUUUCCUGCUGGAAUUGAUGUGAUUGUGUUUUGUUAAAUCUGCUCAAUGAAUGCAUAUAGUGCAGUAUGUGCUGUCUUCAUAACAUAAUACUGGGCUUUUACCUUGUGCAAAUUAUGGGAAGAUAGGCAGGGGAGUAUUGAACAACAUGUAGUUCAACUUUGCAUUAGCUUGGUGGUAGUUUAAAUAAAUUCAAAUCUAGGUAGUGUUUUCAGUAGUUAAUGACGUUUUUGCCAUGUAGCGGUGUAGCUAACUACUGGAACUACAGACUACUUUUUUUGCUAAAAUUAAAUAAAAAGGCAAGAAUUUUCUUUUUAGUAGUAACUUUAGUUAAGUAAACUAUAUUUUCUGAGUAUCUUCCCCAACAUUGAAGAUAAUAUGUCCAAUACAUUUGUACCACUUGACUGAUCUAAAUGUUAUAACAGUUUAGUCUUUUGUCAUUCAUGCUGCAGGCCUAUAAAAACGGAUAUAAUACACUUUACAUUUGUUUUCAUAAAUGUUUGCCAGUAUAUUUUUUAUAUGCCUAUAACUUUCACUCACAACAUAAGUCUGGUGUAAUAGAUAGCCAUAUGAGGUAAUAUAUUUACUACAUGAUAAAUAUAUAUGUAGGCCUAAGGAAAUUGUAACAAAGGCAAACUACAUAAAAAGGGCGUUGCAUCAUUAUCGCGUACCCUUCCAAAUGGUUCCGGAAACUUCCGGUGCCCUCUGUUCCUCUUUCGGCACAAAUCCACUAGAAAUGGAAAGCUCGUAGCCGGAUAACUUUUGUGUUGUUUUAUUUAUUGAAUAAACCCACUUGAUGUUGAAGAUAUGGAAUCCAAAAUAAAAUAGCAGUGUACAACUUUUAUUUACAUUACUGGUAGGUGUCAUUAUGUGGUGUUGCAGUUUGUAGCGGGUUUCGUAACUUAUUUCUAAAACUGUUGGCUUUAGCUAAGAAGCUACAGUAACUAUAGUAGCAAGCUGGUUGUCGCUAACAUGCGGACCUGACGGCCAACGCGGGUUCUGCUGAAUGAACGAUUAUUCCUUUGAUUUGAUUGACAUUUCAGAUAGGACUGCGACUCACCUCUGUAUUUUAAAAGUUGAACUGGUGUUAGCGUAGUAUCAGAUAACAUUACAUUGUGUCAUCUUGUGGUGAAAAUAUGAAUGACAUUGCUGUCACUCGCGUGUUCCUACACACAGUGAUGUGGGCGGGGAAUGAAGCAACCAAAGCCAAUUGGAAUCCUUUAAAUGUUGAUUGACUUAAAUUGCAGCCAAUAGAAAUUCUCAAUAUUUGUGACGGCUAAUUUCAUGACUCUUUGAGAGAGGCGUUCCUUUCCGGCGCAA
This 3711-nucleotide long non-coding RNA is filed under the name Salmo trutta (river trout). RNAcentral's name for it is "lncRNA (ENSSTUG00000032509.1)". The record is from RNAcentral. Lineage: Eukaryota; Metazoa; Chordata; Actinopteri; Salmoniformes; Salmonidae.